CCUGGCGACAGGAUGCCAAUCCCCAAAACCUCUCUCAGUUCGGAUCGAAGUCUGCAACCCGACUUCGUGAAGCUGGAUUCGCUAGUAAUCGCGCAUCAGCCACGGCGCGGUGAAUACGUUCCCGGGCCUUGUACACACCGCCCGUCAAGCCAUGAAAGCCGGGGGUACCUGAAGUACGUAACCGCAAGGAUCGUCCUAGGGUAAAACUGGUAAUUGGGGCUAAGUCGUAACAAGGUAAC
This 239-nucleotide ribosomal RNA is filed under the name uncultured bacterium. RNAcentral's name for it is "partial 16S ribosomal RNA". It matches the Rfam family "Bacterial small subunit ribosomal RNA", at positions 1253 to 1500 of the family's 1533-position model. The record is from RNAcentral.